Molecule: ribosomal RNA, 1103 nt
Filed under: Actinomyces naeslundii
Lineage: Bacteria; Bacillati; Actinomycetota; Actinomycetes; Actinomycetales; Actinomycetaceae
Description: bacterial SSU rRNA
Rfam family: Bacterial small subunit ribosomal RNA
Source: RNAcentral
GGUGACGGGUAGCCGGCCUGAGAGGGUGGACGGUCACACUGGGACUGAGACACGGCCCAGACUCCUACGGGAGGCAGCAGUGGGGAAUAUUGCACAAUGGGCGGAAGCCUGAUGCAGCGACGCCGCGUGAGGGAUGGAGGGCUUCGGGUUGUGAACCUCUUUCGCCAGUGAAGCAGGCGUGCCUCGUUUGUGGGUGGGUUGAGGGUAGCUGGAUAAGAAGCGCCGGCUAACUACGUGCCAGCAGCCGCGGUAAUACGUAGGGCGCGAGCGUUGUCCGGAAUUAUUGGGCGUAAAGAGCUCGUAGGCGGCUGGUCGCGUCUGUCGUGAAAUCCUCUGGCUUAACUGGGGGCUUGCGGUGGGUACGGGCCGGCUUGAGUGCGGUAGGGGAGACUGGAACUCCUGGUGUAGCGGUGGAAUGCGCAGAUAUCAGGAAGAACACCGGUGGCGAAGGCGGGUCUCUGGGCCGUUACUGACGCUGAGGAGCGAAAGCGUGGGGAGCGAACAGGAUUAGAUACCCUGGUAGUCCACGCCGUAAACGUUGGGCACUAGGUGUGGGGGGGGUUUUCCGGGUCUUCCGCGCCGUAGCUAACGCAUUAAGUGCCCCGCCUGGGGAGUACGGCCGCAAGGCUAAAACUCAAAGGAAUUGACGGGGGCCGGCACAAGCGGCGGAGCAUGCGGAUUAAUUCGAUGCAACGCGAAGAACCUUACCAAGGCUUGACAUGUGCCGGUCUGCUCCGGAGACGGGGUUUCCUCCUUUGUGGGGGCUGGUUCACAGGUGGUGCAUGGUUGUCGUCAGCUCGUGUCGUGAGAUGUUGGGUUAAGUCCCGCAACGAGCGCAAGCCUUGUCUCGUGUUGCCAGCACGUUGUGGUGGGGACUCGCGGGAGACUGCCGGGGUCAACUCGGAGGAAGGUGGGGAUGACGUCAAAUCAUCAUGCCCCUUAUGUCUUGGGCUUCACGCAUGCUACAAUGGCCGGUACAGAGGGCUGCGAUACCGUGAGGUGGAGCGAAUCCCUUAAAGCCGGUCUCAGUUCGGAUCGGUGUCUGCAACUGGACACCGUGAAGUUGGAGUCGCUAGUAAUCGCAGAUCAGCAACGCUGCGGUG